CCGGGUGAGUAACACGUGACUAACCUACCUUUCAGUGGGGAAUAACCUCGGGAAACCGGGGCUAAUACCGCAUAACGUCUACGGACCAAAGGAGCAAUUCGCUGGAAGAGGGGGUCGCGGCCGAUUAGCUAGUUGGCGGGGUAACGGCCCACCAAGGCAAUGAUCGGUAGCCGGCCUGAGAGGGCGCACGGCCACACUGGAACUGAAACACGGUCCAGACUCCUACGGGAGGCAGCAGUGGGGAAUUUUGUGCAAUGGGGGAAACCCUGACGCAGCAACGCCGCGUGGAGGAUGAAGCCCCUUGGGGUGUAAACUCCUUUCGAUCGGGACGAUUAUGACGGUACCGGAUGAAGAAGCACCGGCUAACUCUGUGCCAGCAGCCGCGG
RNAcentral lists this ribosomal RNA (386 nucleotides) under uncultured bacterium. Its description in RNAcentral is "bacterial SSU rRNA". It matches the Rfam family "Bacterial small subunit ribosomal RNA", at positions 100 to 520 of the family's 1533-position model. The record is from RNAcentral.